This 494-nucleotide ribosomal RNA is filed under the name uncultured bacterium. RNAcentral's name for it is "bacterial SSU rRNA". It matches the Rfam family "Bacterial small subunit ribosomal RNA", at positions 9 to 503 of the family's 1533-position model. The record is from RNAcentral.
GAGUUUGAUCCUGGCUCAGGAUGAACGCUGGCGGCGUGCUUAACACAUGCAAGUCGAGCGAAGCAUUAAAACCGAUUUCUUCGGAAUGAAGUUUUAAUGACUGAGCGGCGGACGGGUGAGUAACGCGUGGGUGACCUGCCUCAUACAGGGGGAUAACAGACAGAAAUGUCUGCUAAUACCGCAUAAGCGCACAGUGCUGCAUGGCACAGUGUGAAAAACUCCGGUGGUAUGAGAUGGACCCGCGUCUGAUUAGCUAGUUGGUAAGGUAACGGCUUACCAAGGCGACGAUCAGUAGCCGGCCUGAGAGGGUGAACGGCCACAUUGGGACUGAGACACGGCCCAAACUCCUACGGGAGGCAGCAGUGGGGAAUAUUGCACAAUGGGGGAAACCCUGAUGCAGCGACGCCGCGUGAAGGAAGAAGUAUUUCGGUAUGUAAACUUCUAUCAGCAGGGAAGAAAAUGACGGUACCUGACUAAGAAGCCCCGGCUAACUA